AGCGAACGCUGGCGGCAGGCUUAACACAUGCAAGUCGAACGCUCACCUUCGGGUGGGAGUGGCAGACGGGUGAGUAACACGUGGGAACGUACCCUUCGGUUCGGAACAACUCAGGGAAACUUGAGCUAAUACCGGAUACGCCCUUCGGGGGAAAGAUUUAUCGCUGAAGGAUCGGCCCGCGUCUGAUUAGCUAGUUGGUGAGGUAAUGGCUCACCAAGGCGACGAUCAGUAGCUGGUCUGAGAGGAUGAUCAGCCACACUGGGACUGAGACACGGCCCAGACUCCUACGGGUGGCUG
Molecule: ribosomal RNA, 297 nt
Filed under: uncultured Pseudomonadota bacterium
Lineage: Bacteria; Pseudomonadati; Pseudomonadota
Description: uncultured proteobacterium partial 16S ribosomal RNA
Rfam family: Bacterial small subunit ribosomal RNA
Source: RNAcentral